GAGGAGUUAGUUAAAUCCUAACAUUACCUUGUCAAGGUAAAAUUACUAGUUGAACUCUUGUACCCCUCU
This 69-nucleotide transfer RNA is filed under the name Glandirana rugosa (Japanese wrinkled frog). RNAcentral describes it as "Rugosa rugosa (Japanese wrinkled frog) tRNA-Asp". It matches the Rfam family "tRNA". Rfam says of the family: Transfer RNA (tRNA) molecules are approximately 80 nucleotides in length. Lineage: Eukaryota; Metazoa; Chordata; Amphibia; Anura; Ranidae. RNAcentral also lists the same sequence under 1 other name. The record is from RNAcentral.